Molecule: ribosomal RNA, 417 nt
Filed under: uncultured bacterium
Lineage: Bacteria
Description: partial 16S ribosomal RNA
Rfam family: Bacterial small subunit ribosomal RNA
Source: RNAcentral
GAGUUUGAUCGUGGCUCAGGACGAACGCUGGCGGCGUGCUUAACACAUGCAAGUCGAGGGCAUUUGGGUAGCAAUACUCAAGUGACCGGCGAACGGGUGCGUAACACGUGAGCGACCUUGCCUCGUGGUGGGGGAUAGCCGGCCCAACGGCCGGGUAAUACCGCAUAUGGUAGUUUCUUCGCAUGGGGAGACUAGCAAAGCUGAGUAGCAAUACUUGGCGCCACAGGGGGGGCUCGCGGCCUAUCAGCUAGUUGGGGGGGGUAAUGGCCCACCAAGGCGACGACGGGUAGCUGGUCUGAGAGGAUGGCCAGCCACAUUGGGGACUGAGAGACGGCCCAGACUCCUACGGGAGGCAGCAGUGGGGAAUCUUGCGCAAUGGCCGAAAGGCUGACGCAGCGACGCCGCGUGGGGGAGGAA